GGAUAGAUGGCUGAGUGGUUUAAAGCACCGGUCUUGAAAACCGGCAAACGUUCUGCGUUUCGUGGGUUCAAAUCCCACUCUGUCCG
RNAcentral lists this transfer RNA (86 nucleotides) under Holospora obtusa F1. It matches the Rfam family "tRNA". From Rfam's summary of the family: Transfer RNA (tRNA) molecules are approximately 80 nucleotides in length. Their secondary structure includes four short double-helical elements and three loops (D, anti-codon, and T loops). Further hydrogen bonds mediate the characteristic L-shaped molecular structure. tRNAs have two regions of fundamental functional importance: the anti-codon, which is responsible for specific mRNA codon recognition, and the 3' end, to which the tRNAs corresponding amino acid is attached (by aminoacyl-tRNA synthetases). tRNAs cope with the degeneracy of the genetic code in two manners: having more than one tRNA (with a specific anti-codon) for a particular amino acid; and 'wobble' base-pairing, i.e. permitting non-standard base-pairing at the 3rd anti-codon position. The record is from Rfam by way of RNAcentral. Lineage: Bacteria; Pseudomonadati; Pseudomonadota; Alphaproteobacteria; Holosporales; Holosporaceae.